RNAcentral lists this ribosomal RNA (252 nucleotides) under uncultured bacterium. RNAcentral's name for it is "partial 16S ribosomal RNA". It matches the Rfam family "Bacterial small subunit ribosomal RNA", at positions 524 to 776 of the family's 1533-position model. The record is from RNAcentral.
UACGGAGGGAGCUAGCGUUGUUCGGAAUUACUGGGCGUAAAGCGCGCGUAGGCGGCUUUGUAAGUUAGAGGUGAAAGCCCGGGGCUCAACUCCGGAAUUGCCUUUAAGACUGCAUCGCUAGAAUCCGGGAGAGGUGAGUGGAAUUCCGAGUGUAGAGGUGAAAUUCGUAGAUAUUCGGAAGAACACCAGUGGCGAAGGCGGCUCACUGGACCGGUAUUGACGCUGAGGUGCGAAAGCGUGGGAGCAAACAGG